This 352-nucleotide unclassified non-coding RNA is filed under the name soil metagenome. Its description in RNAcentral is "partial contains 5.8S ribosomal RNA, internal transcribed spacer 2, and large subunit ribosomal RNA". The stretch from base 1 to 120 matches the Rfam family "5.8S ribosomal RNA", at positions 35 to 154 of the family's 154-position model. The record is from RNAcentral.
GAUGAAGAACGUAGCGAAAUGCGAUAAGUAAUGUGAAUUGCAGAAUUCAGUGAAUCAUCGAAUCUUUGAACGCACAUUGCGCCCGCCAGUAUUCUGGCGGGCAUGCCUGUUCGAGCGUCAUUACAACCCUCAGGCCCCCGGGCCUGGCGUUGGGGAUCGGCGGAGCCCCCCGUGGGAACACGCCGUCCCCCAAAUGCAGUGGCGGUCCCGCCGCAGCUUCCAUCGCGUAGUAGCUAACACCUCGCGACUGGAGAGCGGCGCGGCCACGCCGUAAAACACCCAACUCUUCUGAAGUUGACCUCGAAUCAGGUAGGAAUACCCGCUGAACUUAAGCAUAUCAAUAAGCGGAGGA